UAGCGGCGGACGGGUGAGUAACACGUGGAUAACCUACCUAUAAGACUGGGAUAACUUCGGGAAACCGGAGCUAAUACCGGAUAAGAUUUUGAACCGCAUGGUUCAAUAGUGAAAGACGGCCUUGCUGUCACUUAUAGAUGGAUCCGCGCCGUAUUAGCUAGUUGGUAAGGUAACGGCUUACCAAGGCAACGAUACGUAGCCGACCUGAGAGGGUGAUCGGCCACACUGGAACUGAGACACGGUCCAGACUCCUACGGGAGGCAGCAGUAGGGAAUCUUCCGCAAUGGGCGAAAGCCUGACGGAGCAACGCCGCGUGAGUGAUGAAGGUCUUCGGAUCGUAAAACUCUGUUAUCAGGGAAGAACAAACGUGUAAUAACUGGUGCACGUCUUGACGGUACCUGAUCAGAAAGCCACGGCUAACUACGUGCCAGCAGCCGCGGUAAUACGUAGGUGGCAAGCGUUAUCCGGAAUUAUUGGGCGUAAAGCGCGCGUAGGCGGUUUUUUAAGUCUGAUGUGAAAGCCCACGGCUCACCCGUGAAGGGUCAUUGGAAACUGCAAAACUUGAGUGCAGAAGAGGAAAGUGGAAUUCCAUGUGUAGCGGUGAAAUGCGCAGAGAUAUGGAGGAACACCAGUGGCGAAGGCGACUUUCUGGUCUGUAACUGACGCUGAUGUGCGAAAGCGUGGGGAUCAAACAGGAUUAGAUACCCUGGUAGUCCACGCCGUA
RNAcentral lists this ribosomal RNA (724 nucleotides) under Staphylococcus sp. RNAcentral's name for it is "bacterial SSU rRNA". It matches the Rfam family "Bacterial small subunit ribosomal RNA", at positions 93 to 804 of the family's 1533-position model. Lineage: Bacteria; Bacillati; Bacillota; Bacilli; Caryophanales; Staphylococcaceae. The record is from RNAcentral.